This 1568-nucleotide non-coding RNA is filed under the name synthetic construct. The record is from RNAcentral.
GCAUCUACUCUUUCUGCUUCUGAGAAGAGCAUUGUUUUAACCCUUUACAAUGCAGACCUUCCAGCUUGACACUGAGCGCCUCUGCCAGGCAGCUAAGCUGUACCAGCACACCAAGUCUGACUUUGGCCUGAAUGGCAUGAUCCAGCUUUCUGGUUCAUGUAAUAAUAUGUCACUAUCUGUACUGGGAUCGAUUGGAGGCUGUGCUAUUCUGAGAUUGGAAUUGUUGGAGGCUGCCCGGCUCCAUUCAUCUAAAGACAGCUCCAAGUCUGCCAUUUACAGCUUUCGUAACGCAAGCUCCCUUGGAAGAGAAUUUACUCAUGGUGGAGAACUCUUUGGCCCCAAAAUGGAAUCUGCCUCCCUGUCUUUUUAUGGCCAUCAUGGAGUGAAAUAUGUGGAGGCACAAUUUGUGCAUGACAGCAGCAGCAAGACUGUACAUACUGCUGCUAUGCAGCCCAUCACCAUACCACCUUCGUGUGCCUUUGAUGAUCGUGAGGCCAAUGGUAUAGUGACAUUGUCAACAAAAACUGCAGCGGCGCUGGUCAAGUGGUUGAAGCAGCAUACAAAAACCUGCCAGUCACCAGUUAAGGUUUCUAUCAGUGAAAUCUUGGGUGUGAUGGUUCUUUCAGUUGGAGAUGCUAGCAUGACUGUUGAUGUCACUCCGGUGAAUGUUUCAUCUGGCAAGAAGACACGGGGUGGGAAUAAGGCUAGUGACUCUGGGACUAUCUCUGCAGACGCAACGGUGCAUGUUAAUGGACAUUGUUUGAUUAGAUCUUUGAUUGUAUGUAAAGUUCCUGGGUGUACAACUCCAAGAGUCAAGUUUCACGCCUGUGGCAUAUUAGAGGUAGAUGGGGCCCCCGUUAAACAGGGCGAGUUGACACAGGUAAAAUUGUCAGUGGCCCUCCUGAACGUGGACUCUUCAACUGGCAGAGUUUUGAAGGAACCUGUGGUGACUGGAGCAAGUAAAGAUCGAGGGGCUUCAAAGUCAGAAGACGCGGACGGUAGCCCUCCAGUACCAGAUCAUCCCAAAGAAUCCCUCACUAGCGACUCUGAUUCCUCAGUUCCUGGGCCACGAAGUACUGACCUUUCCUCUCUUACCCACACCCCUUCAGAUAGAUUUUCGAGCGACCUUAGAUCAGGGUGUGGGGGGCAACAGUUCCUCAAGAGACCACCCCCUAAGAAAGACAGGGAACCCACCACUAAGCGCCCCAAGCUACAUUUUAACCACUUCCCAUAAAUGAAGAGUCAUUGGUCAGACGUGUUCCUCCCACUCAUUGUGGGAGGAAUGUCUGCUGUUCCCUUUAUCUGGUGUUUAAUUUUUAGAACCCUUUACCUACCAAUAGAAUGUGACUGGAGAUGCUGGAUUUUUGUAUAUGGAUCAAUGAUUUGGCACAUAACCAUGUUUAUGUCACUAUUGUUUAAACAUAAACAUGGGAUGAUUGGCUGGUUUAAGUUGUGUAGUGCAGUUGCCAUAUGUCUGAUUAUAGUUUUGGCUCUUUUAGAACAAUACUGCCCAUAUGAGAUGUACAUUGUUCCUGUUAUAUUCAUAAUAAAUAUAGUUUUGCUUUCCA